This 498-nucleotide ribosomal RNA is filed under the name Microbacterium sp. B20. RNAcentral describes it as "bacterial SSU rRNA". It matches the Rfam family "Bacterial small subunit ribosomal RNA", at positions 1 to 511 of the family's 1533-position model. Lineage: Bacteria; Bacillati; Actinomycetota; Actinomycetes; Micrococcales; Microbacteriaceae. The record is from RNAcentral.
UUAAGAGUUUUGAUCCUGGCUCAGGAUGAACGCUGGCGGCGUGGCUUAACACAUGCAAGUCGAACGGUGAAGCAGGAGCUUGCUUCUUGUGGAUCAGUGGCGAACGGGUGAGUAACACGUGAGCAACCUGCCCCGGACUGUGGGAUAAGCGCUGGAAACGGCGUCUAAUACUGGAUAUGAGACGUGACCGCAUGGUCAACGUUUGGAAAGAUUUUUCGGUNUGGGAUGGGCUCGCGGCCUAUCAGCUUGUUGGUGAGGUAAUGGCUCACCAAGGCGUCGACGGGUAGCCGGCCUGAGAGGGUGACCGGCCACACUGGGACUGAGACACGGCCCAGACUCCCUACGGGAGGCAGCAGUGGGGAAUAUUGCACAAUGGGCGAAAGCCUGAUGCAGCAACGCCGCGUGAGGGAUGACGGCCUCGGGUUGUAAACCUCUUUUAGCAGGGAAGAAGCGAGAGUGACGGUACNGCAGAAAAAGCGCNGNNACAAACGUUACAAA